UGCAAAGGAUCCUUAUUUAAUUAAAUGA
RNAcentral lists this ribosomal RNA (28 nucleotides) under Uromyces vignae. RNAcentral's name for it is "partial 18S rRNA". Lineage: Eukaryota; Fungi; Basidiomycota; Pucciniomycetes; Pucciniales; Pucciniaceae. The record is from RNAcentral.